This 4519-nucleotide long non-coding RNA is filed under the name Triticum aestivum (bread wheat). RNAcentral describes it as "long non-coding RNA (TAES_LNC010224)". The record is from RNAcentral. Lineage: Eukaryota; Viridiplantae; Streptophyta; Magnoliopsida; Poales; Poaceae.
CUGGGCUGACCAUUGGAUGUGAGAUCCAAUGGCGAGAACACAUCGUAGCACCGUAUGAGUAGACAGGUCGUACUUUUCAUAUACAUUAGACCGUUGAUGACGUGCGUUGCCGUGUCCAUCCAUUUUGAAAUAAAUACAUAUAAAUAUUAGACAAAAUUUGGAUGAAUUAGAUGCCUCAAAAUAGAUGAGGAUUAGCCGUUAAAAACUGCACAAAUCAUUCCAUUAAAUUGUACAAGGACAAGGUAGCUACAUCCAAUCCAGAUGCGAAGAUACAUAAAAAAGACACCUCUAAGUUAUAACACCAUCAUGGAGUAUCUGUUCUCCCAACAUAUCUUUCCCUAAUAAUAAUAAUAAACCAUCCUUGCGAUUUUUGGUAUUCAACCCGCGGUCCUUUUUAAAGUGAGAAAAUGUUUCGAGCCCAGAUCUGGCCCACCCAGGCCCGAGUGCCGCCGCCGCCACCACCAGCGCCCACAGAGCGCUCGACCCCGAGCUCCUCCCGUGCGCCUCCUCCCCGGCCUCCCUCGCGCGUCGUCCGGCGACCGCCGCCGCCACCGGCGACCACCCAGGUCAUGCCGCCGCUCCCCUGCCUUCUCUCUUUCUACUCUCUCUCUAAUCUCCUUGUCUCUCCUUCUCUCCUGGAGCUCAACGCCAGCGCCAUGGAUGCCCAGUUCUCGAGCUCACCUUGGAGGUUCAAACGCCGCAACGGGACCUCCACCGGCCAGAUCCGGCGCCUCCCUCCCGGAUCCGCGCGCCCUCCACCUCCUCUACCCGAUCCGGCGCUGCCCACCUCAGCUCCUCCUCUCCUCCGUGCGCCCGAGCUCCUCGCUAUGCGUCGCCCGGGAGGGCUCGCGCUCGCUACUUGACCAGAGCCACCACGUUGCAUUCUCCGUCGACCUCGCCGUCCCCUCUGCACUACCCUCCACCUCAACUGAUGUCCAUCUGAUUGUUCCAUGUUAUACUAUCUAUUGAAGAAAAUAAAUCUGUAUUAUUUACCUUGAUUUUUCUGAUUGUAGAUAAAUAACAUGGCUGAGAAAGUUCCUCCAAUGAAAGGAGGAGGAGUAUAGUCUUGGCCGUGGCUGGGAAGGAAGGAGAACAGGUUAAUUGAGGAUUUUUCAGGGAGAUUAGGACUGCUUGAUUUAUCACAGAGAAACUAAAUCAGUGGACUGGUGUGCUGGUUGAUUAGGAUCUUUCAGAGAGACCAGGAUUGCUUGAUUAAUCAGCGAGAAACUAGAUCAGUACUUGGGAGUUGGGACUGGUGUGCUACGGUUGAUUUGGGGAUGUGCACUAGCAGGUUUCAGGCAACUAUAUUAUACUCUUCGGUUGGGAUUAGCUUUUGCUGUUACUGACGAGAAUCAGUACAACUAUGAUGGACUGCUUUUCUAGAGCUAGAGCACUACAAAAGUAGAGAUGGUUUUUCACGGCUACACAAUAGGAAUUGAUCUCCGUUCAUUCAUAAAUCAUAAUUAGUGUAGUUCAAGCAGAGUGUUAGGGACAUUGUAGUUUGUCUGAUUAAAUCAAGACUUCAAUUAUUAAAUAAAAUUACAACUUAUAUGUAGAAAACUUUUAUUAACUUUAAUUUUCUAUUUUGCAGGUCCCUGCAGUUAUUUGUCAUAUUGGAUACUUUACAAACAUUCUGUAAAUUGGUAUCAGUUGCACACUUUUUGUUUAUCUCCAUAUCUAUGAUGACUACCUACUCCAAAGCAUCCCCACGUUAAUUUGAAAUAAAAGGAGAAGACCAGAACCAUGAUUUUUAUUCAAUGGUGGUUGAUUAGUAGGUAUGAUCCAAUCAAAUGUGUCCAGCUGUCCUCGUGUUCAUUUCCAACCUUUGAAACUCAGUUUUCAAAUUUAGAAAUCCAACAUAUAUAUUCCAGUACAUGAUUUUAUUUGAUGAUGGUUUAAUUUAGUAGCUACGAUCUAAUCAAGCUUGUCCAACUCUCCCGACAGUGUUCCUCUCCAACCAUUGAGGCUCAGUUUCCAAGUUCUGACCUAGCAUCAAUCCAUCAUGUAAAUUCCCAGUACAUGACUUUAUCUCACUGUGGUUAAUUUAUCAAAGGAGUUGUAUGCCGUUGUUUGAAGCGGAUCAGGUGCCCGCCUCUGUCUGCGAGGCUUCCACAAGUAAUAUAGUUGCGGCCUGGCGCUGCAACAAUUUGCUACCGCGGCGCCAUUCAACUUCCUCACCAGUCGCUCCUAUGCCCACUCACAGGCAAGUAAAACUUUGCAUCCUUCAAUAAUCUGCUAUAGAUCAAAUACUCAUAUAAUUUAUCUCAAGUAUCACAGUCCAAAUCAUUGAUGUAUUGUUUGUGCUUCUAUCAUGCUAGAUUUUGUUGCAAGUUCAUUGCAUGCGUAAGCAAAUUUAGAGUGUUGAAGUCAUAGUGAAUUAAAUGACAUUUGAGACCUCUGUCUAACAACCUUUGUGCAAGUCCGAGAUGAACAGGGCACAUAGGUUUUCCAAGAUUGAAAAUUCAUGAAUAAACAGUUAUGAUGCGAAUUUACGUAACCUGGAAUCUUCUGUGAUUCAAAGUAAACCAAUAAACAGGAAUUUUAUGGACUUCUAGGUCAUUUUUCCUUUGGUAACAGUUAUGUUAGUUCAAAACAAUUUUUCAGUGCCACGAUUAGGCUUCCAAGGGUUCAGAGUAUGACGAAGAAGCCUUUUAUAUCACACACUAUAUAACAUCAUGGAAUCACAACCUUAUAACAAAUAAUUUAAGAGGUUAUGUUCUGCUUUGCUGUAUCUCCACCAGUUUGGGUUGGUCUGAUGGCUAUCCUAAACAGAAUAGGGAAUUAGGAGUACUUUAGUUGGUAUUGAAAGUGGUAUGUUUGCUUUCGAGUUGAAAAUCUUGCAAGUUUGGUCCUGGGAUAUUUAAUGCUCCCUUUUCUUAUUAUCUUCCAAUCAUACUUUACAUAUUUAGUUUUUUACUUUCUCUUGACAAGUGAACUGAAUUAUUCAUGGAGAAUCUGGUUAUAGUAAAUUUUAUUAUGGAGAUUCAUCUGAUGUAAUAGAAUAGCUUUAUUUGCUAAAAUCAGUACAUAACUAUCGUGUUGUAUGGUUUCAACAUGUAGAGUUUUGCAAGUGAGAGUUACAGGAAGUCACUAUUGCAAGAUAGCAUUCAGUUAACACACGUACAAUCGACUGAUCAUUGUUUCUUUUUUUUGCUAAUUUAAUUUGAAAAAGCUAUUGCAAACAUUUUUUUCUUCUGAAAUUAUAUACUCUAUUUAUUUCUAAUGUGAUUUUGUUACUGUUUGUAUGGUAUUUCUCUGCCUAAAUUUUUUGUUACAUAAAUUAAUCUGCAUAUAUGUGUGCAAGCUGUGAAUCGACAAACAGCCCAGAAAAUAUGGCAUGCUACAUACCCUGUGACAGUACAUUAUCAGAAAUACUUAUAUUCAGUGUGUCAUGUGUGCUCAGUCAUUUGUGUCAUGUUCAGAUUUUAGAAGUCAAAAUUCUAGCUUUAGCUCUAUAUUUAAGAAUUUUUCUACGCCAAAUGCAAGAAAAAUAAAGCGUCCUGCUGCUCUCAUUCUGAGGAAGUUCUGAAAAUUGAGGCAUUUGUAUGAAUUUCUACUCUUCAUUAUAAAUUAUUCUUUAAAGUUUACAAAAUAAAACCUGAUAUACUCUGUAUGUCUCCGUUCUACACUACCACUACCAUUUUAUUGCUGCAAAACGCCAGUGAAAAAGUCAUUACUGUUUUACAAGUUUUUAUACAAUCAAGCUGAAAGAGCAAUAAAAUGAUCUGUUUUCACAUCGCCUCGGAUCUUACCGAAAGGCAGUGUGCCUAUAAUUUACAUCUAGCUAACAAUAAUGUGUUUGAGAAUGCUUCAUUUGUUGACGGUCAGCAUGUGGGGUGUGAGCGAGGAUACUUAUAUCACUUAGUGGCCAAGGGAAUGACAUUACAAAAAGUUUAUCUAACAUCCUAGGAGAAGAUGGACACAUGUUCCUAUAUUGCUUCUCUACAAUUGCUUUCACCAUUUGAUCAUCCAUGUAAUUUAUAGCAUCCAUGCAUGGCUUAUCCUUAGGCUGUUUGUAUCCAUUUAUUCCUUUUGUUGACAUGAGUAGGAGGCUACUAUGAAUGCCACAUAGUUGUAAUUUAACCUCCUUACAAACAAUUAACGUUCAAACAUUCCAGUGCAGGAAUCUCAAGACUUAGGAAUGGCGCCCCAACAAUUGUGAGCGGCACAAAGGAAGGGUCGCCAUCACCAAGGAUGUACGCUGACAAUUGUGGACUCCAAAGAGGAAGAAGUUCUAUAUUUAGUGCAUUGAGUUGCUAUUUAAAAUUCUGAGAGGUGUUGAAUUUUGUUAAUUUUUAAGAUAUUGACUUGGAAGAAUUAGUAUUUUGCUUGAUGUAAACUCAGAUUAAUUUGUCAUGUCAUUUGAACCGAGCAACCUUUUUGUGACACCACUUCAUGAUUUUUGUGUGAUAUUUUUUUUACAGGUAGAUUUUUGUGUGAUAUUCUGUCAAUUCCAUGUACUAAGUGGACAUAUGUUGCCAGCUUAAUUUUUUUUAUGAUUUUAUCUAUCAAUUUGUUA